UCAUAUUCCCAUUGGGGAAGAAUGAGAAGCUUCGACCGAAGGUUUGCGUCGAACGCAGUGAGACAACGCCAUUUAUGGCGGCCCGAAGGGUGAGGAGCGACGCGACGAAUAAUCCUUCCCCCACCACCA
RNAcentral lists this small RNA (129 nucleotides) under Erwinia sp. JH02. Its description in RNAcentral is "RtT sRNA". It matches the Rfam family "RtT RNA". Rfam says of the family: This family represents a bacterial cis-regulatory element known as RtT RNA. The exact function of RtT is unknown although it is thought that it may be involved in changing the cellular response in relation to amino acid starvation. Lineage: Bacteria; Pseudomonadati; Pseudomonadota; Gammaproteobacteria; Enterobacterales; Erwiniaceae. The record is from RNAcentral.